RNAcentral lists this ribosomal RNA (1506 nucleotides) under human gut metagenome. Its description in RNAcentral is "bacterial LSU rRNA". It matches the Rfam family "Bacterial large subunit ribosomal RNA", at positions 986 to 2497 of the family's 2925-position model. The record is from RNAcentral.
AGGGCGUGGGUGCUAAGGUCCACGUCCGAAAGAGGAACAACUCAGACCACCGGCUAAGGCCCCCAAAUACGGGCCGAGUUGAAGCCAAUAACGAGGUGGGAUUGCAUGGACAGCUAGGAUGUUGGCUUGGAAGCAGCCAUUCAUUUGAAGAGUGCGUAACAGCUCACUAGUCGAGUGAUCCCGCAUGGAUAAUAAUCGGGCAUAAGUCCGUUGCCGAAGCCGUGGAAUGCAGCAUAAAGCUGCGUUGGUAGGGGAGCAUUCCGGCAGCCGCAGAAGGUGGGGCGUGAGCCCUGCUGGAGGCACCGGAAAAGCAAAUGUAGGAAUAAGUAACGAUAAAGGGGGCGGGAAACCCCCUCGCCGUAAGACCAAGGGUUCCUGAUCAACGCUAAUCGGAUCAGGGUAAGCCGGGGCCUAAGUGGAAGCCGCAAGGCGCACACGAUGGACAAACGGUAAAGAAUCCGUUGCCCCGCAGUCCCAGUGAUGUGGAGACGGAGCAGUGACACACCCGCGUGCUGACGGAAUAGCACGUUGAACCGCGUAGGUAGACGCUGGGGAGGCAAAUCCCCCCGGCGUGCUGAAACGGGACAGUACGGAGCGCCCCCGGGCAAUCCGACAGCGGUGGUAACCAUACUCCCGAGAAAAUCCGCUAAACGCUAUAAAGGGCUGCGGGCCCGUACCGUAAACCGACACAGGUGGUCGGGUAGAAUAUACCAAGGCGCUCGAGAGAUUCACGGUUAAGGAACUAGGCAAAUUGACCCCGUAACUUCGGGAUAAGGGGUCCCCUCCUCCGGGAGGGGCGCAGAGAAUAGGUCCAGGCAACUGUUUAACAAAAACACAGGGCUGUGCGAAGUUGAAAGAUGAAGCAUACAGCCUGACACCUGCCCGGUGCCGGAAGGUUAAGAGGAGGCGUCAUCGCAAGAGAAGCGCUGAAUUGAAGCCCCGGUAAACGGCGGCCGUAACUAUAACGGUCCUAAGGUAGCGAAAUUCCUUGUCGGGUAAGUUCCGACCUGCACGAAUGGUGUAAUGAUCCGGACACUGUCUCAACCGUGAGCUCGGUGAAAUUGUAGUAUCGGUGAAGAUGCCGAUUACCCGCAACGGGACGAAAAGACCCCGUGAACCUUUACUGCAGCUUUGCAUUGUGACCGGGUGCUCGAUGUGUAGGAUAGUCAGGAGGCAGCGAAACAGCCACGCCAGUGGUUGCGGAGCCGACGUUGAAAUACUGACCUUCGCGCAUCUGGUCUCUAACGCCCAGGGGGCGGACAUUGCAUGGCAGGUAGUUUGACUGGGGUGGUCGCCUCCAAAAGAGUAACGGAGGCUUCUAAAGGUGCGCUCAGGCCGAUUGGUAACCGGCCGCAGAGUGUAAUGGCACAAGCGCGCUUGACUGGGAGACCAACAAGUCGAUCAGGUAGGAAACUAGAGCAUAGUGAUCCGGUGGUUCCGCAUGGAAGGGCCAUCGCUCAAAGGAUAAAAGGUACUCCGGGGAUAACAGGCUGAUCCCUCCCAAGA